Molecule: transfer RNA, 72 nt
Filed under: Patescibacteria group bacterium
Lineage: Bacteria
Description: tRNA-Ala
Rfam family: tRNA
About the family: Transfer RNA (tRNA) molecules are approximately 80 nucleotides in length. Their secondary structure includes four short double-helical elements and three loops (D, anti-codon, and T loops).
Source: RNAcentral
GGGCCUGUAGUUUAGUGGUAGAACGCUGCUUUUGCAAAGCAGAGAUCGCGGGUUCGAUUCCCGCCAGGUCCA